CUGUUUCGAGAGGAUGACCCAGCCCACACUGGGACUGAGAUACGGCCCAGACUCCUACGGGAGGCAGCAGUAAGGAAUCUUCCACAAUGGACGAAAGUCUGAUGGAGCAACGCCGCGUGCAGGAUGACGGCCUUCGGGUUGUAAACUGCUUUUAUAUGGGAAGAUUAUGACGGUACCAUAUGAAUAAGGACCGGCUAACUACGCGCCAGCAGCCGCGGUAAUACGUAGGGUCCAAGCGUUAUCCGGAAUCACUGGGCGUAAAGCGUGUGUAGGCGGUGUGUUAAGUGAAAUGCGAAAUCUCGUGGCUCAACCAUGUAGACUGUAUUUCAUACUGGCACACUUGAGGAUGGCAGAGGCAAGUGGAAUUGGUAGUGUAGCAGUGAAAUGCGUAGAUAUUACCAGGAACACCAAUGGCGAAGGCAGCUUGCUGGGCCAUAUCUGACGCUGAGACACGAAAGCGUGGGGAGCGAACAGGAUUAGAUACCCUGGUAGUCCACGCCGUAAACGAUGCAUGCUAUUAGUGUGGGGUAUUGACCCCCUGCGCUGAGAAGCUAACGCGAUAAGCAUGCCGCCUGGGGAGUACGAGCGCAAGCUUAAAACUCAAAGGAAUUGACGGGGACCCGCACAAGCGGUGGAGCAUGGGGUUUAAUUCGAUGCUACGCGAAGAACCUUACCGAGGUUUGACAUCCUAGGAAUCCGGCGGAAACGUUGGAGUGCCUUCGGGAACCUAGUGACAGGUGCUGCAUGGCCUCUCAGCACGGU
This 762-nucleotide ribosomal RNA is filed under the name uncultured bacterium. Its description in RNAcentral is "bacterial SSU rRNA". It matches the Rfam family "Bacterial small subunit ribosomal RNA", at positions 287 to 1064 of the family's 1533-position model. The record is from RNAcentral.